GCCUGCCUAAUUAAUUAGAGUGAUUAGUUUAUAGUGGCACCCAAAGUCUCUCCCCCCACCUCUAUCAACUCUUCUCCUUUCUUAUACCCACUUGCAUGCCUUCUUUCUUCUACACAUUCCAGAGACGGCCACCCUUCUUCUUCAGCUCCAAAAUGCUCCUCUAGCUAGCUCCAUAUCACUGAUCCAGCUAGCUUGAACAAGCUGUGCAACUCUCCUAGCUACAUCAAGAGGCAGUGAAGCUGGCGAACCGGUGGUGGAGCACGGGCGGCCAUUUGGGCCUGCCGGGCGAGCAGCCGUCCGGCUCAUCCGGCCCACCCAACCCCAAGCCCGAGCUCUCCGCCGCCAUGAUCAAAGACCCCGAGCCCGGAGACUCCAACAACGCCGACUCCGGCUCCGGCUCCGGCGGCGGCAACGGCACCACCAACAACGGCGCAGAGCCACGUGGCGGAGACCCAGGCACGGUGGUUCUUCCCGCGCCCAACCGCCGCCCACGUGGCCGCCCCCCGGGCUCCAAGAACAAGCCGAAGCCCCCGAUCUUCGUGACCCGGGACAGCCCGAACGCGCUGCGCAGCCACGUGAUGGAGGUGGCGGGGGGCGCCGACGUGGCGGACGCGAUCGCGCACUUCUCGCGCCGGCGCCAGCGCGGCGUGUGCGUGCUCAGCGGCGCCGGGACCGUCGCCAACGUGGCGCUGCGUCAGCCGUCGGCGCCGGGGGGCGCCGUCGUGGCGCUCCAUGGAAGGUUCGAGAUCCUCUCGCUGACCGGCACCUUCCUGCCGGGCCCCGCGCCGCCGGGCUCCACGGGGCUCACCGUGUACCUCGCCGGCGGGCAGGGGCAGGUCGUCGGGGGCAGCGUGGUCGGGGCGCUCACGGCGGCCGGACCCGUCAUGGUGAUCGCGUCCACUUUCGCUAAUGCGACCUAUGAGAGGCUGCCGCUGGAGGAAGAAGAUGAAGGUCCUGUGCAGGGAGGUGGCGGGGUUGAGCAGCAGCUGGGCAUGGCAGGGGGACAUGGCCAUGGGGUUCCCGUGGACCCGUCGGCGGCCAUGCCCAUGGCGCCCAUGUUCAACGGGCAGCUUGGCGGCGGUGGCGGCGACGGGUUCCCGUGGGCGCCGCACGCUCGCCCGCCUUACUGAUCGAUCGUCGAUCGGCCCGGCGGGCGAUAAUGGCAGAAUUGAAGAUUGCAAAGGAAGAGGAUCGUCAGUAGCAAGUCAUGGCGGAGGGGAAGACCCAUGAACCAACGUUCGUGAGCCUUAUCCCGAACGGAUCGCGUCCUGAUCGGGGGUGAUAACCGACUCGAUGGUUCUGGCCCCCCUCACACAGCGCCUUAUAAAAGGGGAUUAGCUGGCCCUCUCUCGUCGACCUAAGUUCACGUGAGAUCUCGUCUAAUCCCAACAACUCUUGUUCACCCUACCGAUCUGGGAGGCGCUGGAGUGCUUGGGAAGGCCACGAACUACGACUUCCUCUCCCGUCGUCGGCCAGUGCCGAUACAGGCCGGAGGGACGCCGCUACCUCACCCGUACGACUCCUUCGUCUAUUUCGGCUACUUCCACGACAAUGGCGUCCUCUUCCAAUCGCACUUUUCAGCUUUCGUGCAUCAAGAGGCGAAUGCUAAAAAAAAAUAGCAACUGCAUGUACGUAUGCAUCUGCACAAUGUUUUCAUCUCUACUACAAGGUUGGGGCUAGCUAGCUAAUUUUCAGUAAACUUGAAAUGCGUUGUAGCCAGAUAUAUAGGUAGCUUCUUACUGUGUUAAUAUUUGUAUAUCGAAUUACCAUCAAUAUUUAUGUUCUAUGAAUAUGUCAAAACAUUAAUUCUCGCUAACACAUUGGUUAUGAACUAGCUAGAUUGCAUGCAAUAUGCCCUCUGUUUCUCCUUGCUAACAGUAGUAGUACUACAUAGUGUAAUUCCAAUAGUUUUGAUAACUACACUUUACAAUAUUUAUUUUUUCGUCCGGGAAUUUACCCACGGCCGGUGUUUUGUUUAUAGAUAUCAUUUACAUUAUUUUGGCUUUGAAUUGUUUGGAAGUCUAGCUACCAAUGAAUUUAGGCUAGAUAUAUAUCUAGAUAAAAGCAAUGUUGAUUUCUCCAUGAUGCAUGCAAAAAAAACGUGGAAUUUGCUGUCCUAAAUAUAAAUGUGCUAAAUUAAGGCAGAUAUUGCCAAUGAUUUCAUCUAUACAACCAAGGAUUGAAUAGCAGGCUAGCAUAUAAGUAACCACAUAUAUUGGGGAAUUACUGUCCACUUUGACAUAUAUUACUAAGUACAUGCAUGUAUGAAGUAAUAGAUAAUUAAGAAACUAUUAAAAUUAGAGCGAGGACUAAUAUUUCCUCCAUUCUUAAAUAGAAAUAACUUAUAAAGUGUGUAGUCGACUUUGACUUGAAAUAUAUGUGUAAAUAUAUAGUUGAAUAUAGGGGGAAAUAUCAUUAAUUACUUUGAUUAUUGAAAAAAAUUCAAUGGUGUUAUAAUUUUAUACCAUUCUAAUAACAUAUCCGAAAGCUAGUGAUUUUCUAAUAAUAUAUUUGAAAUUGAUUUUGCAUGUUAGAGAAUGGACUGUAUUAAAAUGUUAACUCUUUGUGAACAUAGGGGUAGAUUAUUGGCAGGCAUGCAUAUGUUUCUAUAGACAGGCGUGCACAUGUAUAGUAAUAUGUAUUCUCGUAGAUAUUCUGUUCAAUUAAAGUUAAUUUUUUUCUCUAGUAGACAAUGUAUUUAAAGUAAACAUAAAAUUUCUUGGUACACAUAUACUAAAUAACUUACUGUAGUUUUUUGCAUGGGACCAAAUAACUUACUGUAAUAUACUCACUCCGUCCCAUAUUAAGUGAUGAAUUAUUACAUGUAUCUAGACGCUUUUUGGGUAUAGAUACAUCCAUAUUUGGACAAAUUAAGUCACUUAAUAAGAGACGGAGGGAGUAAUAUAAAUAGGUGUGCUAAUAUGUAAUAUGUGAAGUCAAUUGACCUAACUACUUCGGUGAAUGGAUCUUCGCACUGGUGUGUGUCGAGCUUCUGUUUUCAUGGCCAUGUCGAAUAUUGGUGUCCUUGGCCUAGCCUAGGUAGGUUGUAGAUGAGAGUUAUAAUCUCAAUUCCGCUUGAUUUUUCUCAGUUCAAAUCAAUUUUUUUUGCUAAUUAUUAUGUUGAGGCAAUAUUUUUGCAUCCCGUACGUCCAGAAUUAUAUAGCGG
This is an RNA transcript of Brachypodium distachyon (stiff brome), 3166 nucleotides long. It is a transcript of the gene named AT-hook motif nuclear-localized protein 19, with no coding region annotated. The transcript is spliced from 4 exons. Lineage: Eukaryota; Viridiplantae; Streptophyta; Magnoliopsida; Poales; Poaceae. The record is from RefSeq and is a predicted model, not a curated record.